CGCUUGAGCAAUGGCGUGACGCAGGAGGAUAGGGUGAGCGGCCUAUUGGAUGGCCGUCUAAGCAGUAAGUGUGGUGUGUAGGCAAAUCCGCACACCAAUAAGCACAAGCUGUGAUGGCGAGGGAAAUAUAAGUACCGAAGUCCCUGAUUUCACACUGCCAAGAAAAGCGUCUAGCGAGGAACAAGGUGCCCGUACCGCAA
This 200-nucleotide ribosomal RNA is filed under the name Brevibacillus laterosporus. RNAcentral describes it as "partial 23S ribosomal RNA". Lineage: Bacteria; Bacillati; Bacillota; Bacilli; Caryophanales; Paenibacillaceae. The record is from RNAcentral.